Non-coding RNA from Anas platyrhynchos (mallard), 2062 nucleotides. Lineage: Eukaryota; Metazoa; Chordata; Aves; Anseriformes; Anatidae. The record is from the annotation of a RefSeq genome assembly.
CUGGGAGAGGAGACGAGAGCAGCCCCUGCACAUGAUGCGGCUCCCAGAGUUCCCAGGAUCCCUGACUGUGACAAUCCUCAAAGGUUGCUGCAGCUGGAGGAGGGAGAAACCCCAGGGAGCAUUUGGGGCACAGUCAGAACAGAAAAUUUAUCUUUGCUGAAUCUCCUCCUGUUCCCCCAGCAGAGUCAUUUCCUGAGCUCUGUUCUCUUGGGGCUGGGAGGUGCUUUUCUGACUCUCUCUCCCACAGCAAACAAGAGGGUCGGUCUCAGCAUGCACCGUGGGUAUCUCAUCCUCACUGCCUUCCUGGGGCAACUGCUGGAAACCACGGGGCAGGUGUCCGUCACCCAGCAAGAAGGACAAGUCACUGUGGAGCAGGGAAACACCUUCCAGACCAAUUGCACAUAUGAAACCUCCAGAUUUAAUGGCUUGCUCUGGUACCAGCAGAAGAAGGGACAAGCCCCUCAACGGAUUUCCUAUCAAGCAGGAGCAGGCACCAAGCAGAGUGACCGUCUCACCACGGAGCUGAACACUGAGAGGAAAUCCAGUGUUCUGCGUCUGAAGGAAGUCGAGCUUUCUGACAGCGCCUUGUACUUCUGUGCUGUGAGUGACACCCUGGUGCAGGAAGCUGCCCUGGCUGUGCAACAACUCUGGAUGUGGAGGGGACUUGUUCUCCAGAAGGAUUCUGUCAUUUCCAAGACAAUUGUGAAUCUCCAAAUUGUGAAUAUGCUCCUCCAUCUCAGACUUCAGUGUUAGCCAGGAGAUAAUUCUGGCUCAGAAGCACCUAUUGAUUAUUGCUCUAACCCAAGCAAUGGAUGUGUUAUGCGUAGAAAGUCUCGGUCCCAGCGUGAGAGCUGGGCCGGGGCUAAUACCUGAUAGGCCAGACUCCAGAGAGGCCUGGAUGAAGGCUCCAUCCAGAGAUGGCCCUGCACCACCUAAGAGGCUGGCUAGGCCAGGCUGACAAGAUUUGGCCAGCCCAGGCACAGGCACACAGGCAGCAGAGCUGGGGCAAUGCCAUGCUAGGCCUGAGCAUGAGCAGAGUCUUUGGACUAGGGGCAAGACUCUUUGUGAAAGUAAAGUACCCCCACACCACAGGGCCCCGAGGUGUGCUACUGUGGGAAGGCCCUCACCUGGGUGUGGAGAGCAGUGGGGCUACAUGGAGCACAAGGGCCACUUCAUCCUCAUGGCUCUGGGAAUGACAGAGGAGCUUGGUGCCUGGGAGAAGAUCCCCCAGCGUGUGCCCUGUGGUUGGGCUGGUGCAUGCCUUGUGACAUUCAGGGCCCAUACACAGAUCUUGCUGAGUGCACAAUCAGGUCCCAUUCUCACUGCUAUGUCUCAGCAGAGACUCUGGGAUCCCUGCCCCCACAGAAUGUCUUUUCUGGAGCAUGGUGCAAUUGUGCCACCUAUGGGGUCUCUGAGUUCCAGGGCCUGAUGAAAGCUGAUCCAUGCUUGGGGAAAAGAAAGCAAGACUGAGCAGCCGUGAGUGUUUGGGCAUUGGUCCCUGCCCUGGGCCUGCCUUCAUGAAAAAGGAAUUGAGUUCACAGGGCCUGGGGACUCCAGUGUGUGGCCUGAUGGGACUGGUACCAGUACGAACCUGUGGAUCCCCUCAGCCCUAUGCAUCUUGGCAACAGCUGGGCCAUGCCAGACGCUGUGCUGUAGUGUGAUGGGGAUGCACAGGGAAGCUGUUCCUGCUCUUCAUGCCCAGACAUGAUGCCAAUGAUUAGGUGGUGGAGGAAAUGUGAAAGUCGAUGAGGGACAGAGGGCCAUCACCAAGACAAUUACCCAUUCCCAGUUUCUGCAGUCCUUUGGGAUCAUAUUGGUCUCAGCCUCCACCCCCAGCACAGCUCCACCCAAAGCAAGACGAACACUCUUCCCCAAGAGCCGGGGCCUACAAUGUCAACAGCGCUUGUCUAGGCGGAGAUGCCACAAGUCACGGACUGGUGGCUAUUGGCUGUGAUGGAACUAGGGAUGUCUUCCUCACCUUCAAGAGACACUGACCGAAAGAGGAAUUGCUGCAGUAUGCCCCACCCUCCAGUGCCUAGAGGAAUGAGGCAGUGCCCCCAGC